GUGGGGAAUCUUGCGCAAUGGGCGAAAGCCUGACGCAGCCAUGCCGCGUGAAUGAUGAAGGUCUUAGGAUUGUAAAAUUCUUUCACCGGGGACGAUAAUGACGGUACCCGGAGAAGAAGCUCCGGCUAACUUCGUGCCAGCAGCCGCGGUAAUACGAAGGGGGCUAGCGUUGCUCGGAAUUACUGGGCGUAAAGGGCGCGUAGGUGGACAGCUUAGUCAGAGGUGAAAGCCCCGGGCUCAACCUUGGAAUUGCCUUUGAUACUGGCUGUCUUGAGUUUGGGAGAGGUGAGUGGAACUCCGAGUGUAGAGGUGAAAUUCGUAGAUAUUCGGAAGAACACCAGUGGCGAAGGCGACUCACUGGCCCAAUACUGACGCUGAGGCGCGAAAGCGUGGGGAGCAAACAGGAUUAGAUACCCGAGUAGUCC
This 425-nucleotide ribosomal RNA is filed under the name uncultured bacterium. Its description in RNAcentral is "partial 16S ribosomal RNA". It matches the Rfam family "Bacterial small subunit ribosomal RNA", at positions 354 to 796 of the family's 1533-position model. The record is from RNAcentral.